AUUGAACGCUGGCGGCAUGCCUUACACAUGCAAGUCGAACGGCAGCACGGGUGCUUGCACCUGGUGGCGAGUGGCGAACGGGUGAGUAAUACAUCGGAACAUGUCCUGUAGUGGGGGAUAGCCCGGCGAAAGCCGGAUUAAUACCGCAUACGAUCUACGGAUGAAAGCGGGGGACCUUCGGGCCUCGCGCUAUAGGGUUGGCCGGUGGCUGAUUAGCUAGUUUGUGGGGUAAAGGCCUACCAAGGCGACGAUCAGUAGCUGGUCUGAGAGGACGACCAGCCACACUGGGACUGAGACACGGCCCAGACUCCUACGGGAGGCAGCAGUGGGGAAUUUUGGACAAUGGGCGAAAGCCUGAUCCAGCAAUGCCGCGUGUGUGAAGAAGGCCUUCGGGUUGUAAAGCACUUUUGUCCGGAAAGAAAUCCUUGGCCCUAAUACGGUCGGGGGAUGACGGUACCGGAAGAAUAAGCACCGGCUAACUACGUG
RNAcentral lists this ribosomal RNA (486 nucleotides) under uncultured bacterium. RNAcentral describes it as "partial 16S ribosomal RNA". It matches the Rfam family "Bacterial small subunit ribosomal RNA", at positions 30 to 507 of the family's 1533-position model. The record is from RNAcentral.